This 391-nucleotide unclassified non-coding RNA is filed under the name soil metagenome. RNAcentral describes it as "partial contains 5.8S ribosomal RNA, internal transcribed spacer 2, and large subunit ribosomal RNA". The stretch from base 1 to 122 matches the Rfam family "5.8S ribosomal RNA", at positions 35 to 154 of the family's 154-position model. The record is from RNAcentral.
GAUGAAGAACGUAGCGAAAUGCGAUACUUGGUGUGAAUUGCAGAAUCCCGUGAACCAUCGAGUCUUUGAACGCAAGUUGCGCCCGAAGCCACUAGGCCGAGGGCACGCCUGCCUGGGCGUCACACGCCGUUGCCCCCCCAUCUACUCCUUCGGGAUUGCGGGGGGGCGGAUGAUGGCCUCCUGUGCGCCUAGCCGCGCGGUUGGCAUAAAUACCAAGUCCUCGGCGACGCACGCCACGACAAUCGGUGGUUGCGAAACCUCGGUUGCCCGUCGUGUGCGUUCGUCGCGCAUCGAGGGCUCGAAAAAAUGCUCGGCUCCGGCUGGGCUUUCAACGCGACCCCAGGUCAGGCGGGGUUACCCGCUGAAUUUAAGCAUAUCAAUAAGCGGAGGU